UAGGGAAUAUUGCACCAUGGGCGAAAGCCUGAUGCAGCAACGCCGCGUGAGUGAUGAAGGCCCUCGGGUCGUAAAACUCUUUUCAAGAGGAAGAGGAAGGACGGUACUCUUGGAAUAAGCCUCGGCUAACUACGUGCCAGCAGCCGCGGUAACACGUAGGAGGCGAGCGUUAUUCGGAUUUACUGGGCGUAAAGCGCGUGUAGGCGGCUUAUUAAGUUGGAUGUGAAAGCUCCUGGCUUAACUAGGAGAGGACGUUCAAAACUAGUAAGCUUGAGUACGAGAGAGUAAAAUGGAAUUCCGGGUGUAGUGGUGAAAUGCGUAGAUAUCCAGAGGAACACCAGUGGCGAAGGCGAUUUUCUGGCUCGAGACUGACGCUCAGACGCGAAAGCUAGGGUAGCAAACG
This 403-nucleotide ribosomal RNA is filed under the name uncultured bacterium. RNAcentral describes it as "bacterial SSU rRNA". It matches the Rfam family "Bacterial small subunit ribosomal RNA", at positions 355 to 774 of the family's 1533-position model. The record is from RNAcentral.